UGCCUUUUGUGUUGCCCGUUCACUUUUGGCUGCUAGUGAAUGUGGUGUCAAAAAAGGCGCAAAUCAAAUCCGUGGCAGCCCUAUUUUCACUGGAUUCUAUUCCUGUGGUGUACUUGCUGCACAGGAACAUGG
Molecule: non-coding RNA, 132 nt
Organism: Ornithorhynchus anatinus (platypus)
Lineage: Eukaryota; Metazoa; Chordata; Mammalia; Monotremata; Ornithorhynchidae
Source: Rfam